GGUCCAUGGAAGUACUUGAGAAAAAUAAAAGAGCCAAUAAUGCCUUAAGUCUGUUUUGGUCAAUUGAGAAAGCAGAGGACCAUAAGAAAUUUGUUAUCUCCACCACCCAUUACUUCCUUGGAAGUUUGAAUCCUCCAAGAUUCUCCGCCCACUAGGAUCAUGUUAACAAAGGCUACUUCCUACUAUAAAUACAGAACAUCUUCCUUCUUACAAACCGAAGAGAGUAACAUUUGUACUUUCUUCAUCUCAUUACCUAAAGCCUUGUGCUUAAUUUUUUUUCUUGUCAAAGAAGAGUCAUGGGAGGCAACAACAGGCAGAAAAAAUCCUCCUUCUCAUUCUUCAGCUUGUUCAAAUCGAGGAGGCCUCACAGAGGAGAUGACAUGGGGGAGGAUUUGAAUAUGAGUGCAAGAAAGGUGUGGCCUAGUGAGGAGGACAGAGGCGGGUGGGUAGCUGAGCCCGGCAUCGACAACAAAGCUACUGCUUUCAUUGACAGAAUCCACAAGAGCAUUUUCUCAGAAUCUGAUUGCCAAACCUUAACUGUAAACCCUGCUGGAAAGUCCUAAGAAGGAGCUUUGCCUCUCUGCAUUUAUUAGUGUAUCAUAAUGUUAUUUUUUUCAAAUAAGUUGUAUCUAGUUUAGUUUGUGAAUCACUACAAUAAAUA
RNAcentral lists this long non-coding RNA (661 nucleotides) under Prunus dulcis (almond). RNAcentral describes it as "sRNA ncRNA". Lineage: Eukaryota; Viridiplantae; Streptophyta; Magnoliopsida; Rosales; Rosaceae. The record is from RNAcentral.